This is a regulatory RNA element of 220 nucleotides. It matches the Rfam family "T-box leader". Rfam says of the family: Uncharged tRNA acts as the effector for transcription antitermination of genes in the T-box leader family. T-boxes are found upstream of many aminoacyl-tRNA synthetase genes and some amino acid biosynthetic genes usually in Gram-positive bacteria. The record is from Rfam.
AUAAAAUCGUUGAAGAGAAUUGGAAUAAUUAUCGUAACAUUAAAGCGAGUCAACAAUUGGUGAGAGGUUGAUAAUGUUUAACUAUUCCUGAUCAUCUCGGAGUACCUCAUUUGAGUUAGUUAGAAUGAGGCGGUUCAUUAUCGUUAUCUAAUGACAUGAGGAAACUUUAAUCUUAAGGUUUUAAAUCCGGGUGGUACCGCGAAGAAGCUUCGUCCCAGUA